Molecule: ribosomal RNA, 63 nt
Filed under: Ceriagrion cerinorubellum
Lineage: Eukaryota; Metazoa; Arthropoda; Insecta; Odonata; Coenagrionidae
Also listed under: 1 other name
Description: partial 5.8S ribosomal RNA
Rfam family: 5.8S ribosomal RNA
About the family: 5.8S ribosomal RNA (5.8S rRNA) is a component of the large subunit of the eukaryotic ribosome.
Source: RNAcentral
AUCCUAAACGGUGGAUCACUCGGCUCGUGGAUCGAUGAAGGACGCAGCAAACUGCGCGUCGAA